Molecule: ribosomal RNA, 253 nt
Filed under: uncultured bacterium
Lineage: Bacteria
Description: partial 16S ribosomal RNA
Rfam family: Bacterial small subunit ribosomal RNA
Source: RNAcentral
UACAGAGGUCUCAAGCGUUGUUCGGAUUCAUUGGGCGUAAAGGGUGCGUAGGCGGCGCGGUAAGUCGGGUGUGAAAUCUCGGAGCUUAACUCCGAAACUGCAUUCGAUACUGUCGUGCUUGAGGACUGGAGAGGAGACUGGAAUUUACGGUGUAGCGGUGAAAUGCGUAGAUAUCGUAAGGAAGACCAGUGGCGAAGGCGGGUCUCUGGACAGUUCCUGACGCUGAGGCACGAAAGCGUGGGGAGCAAACAGG